UUGGAAUUCUAACAUGGAGAAUGCUUGUUUUUCUUUUUCACCCACAUAAUUCUUCCACAUAAUCGGAUCUUCCAAGGAGUUCCACAAAGUCUUCAUCAUGAGUUAUAACUACUAACUGAAAAUUUCUUUGUCCUGAUCGACUCUUGAUAAUUCUAACAAAUAAAUCAAGAAUGACUAUGGAAUGAAAUACAUAAACAUGCAUCAUAAUAUAUUAUUAUCUAUGUCCUUAAAUUGGAAAUGAAAUGGGGUUUAACAUCCUACUGUUCUAUUGAAUAUGGACGUACACUAUACAGUGUGCUAUGAGGAAAAUUUUGCUCAAACAGAGGCACUACAGCCUACUCUUGUAUUGAAAAUUCCAACUUUCAAGGGUUCUUUUACAUACACUACAAUGUGUAAACAGUACCUCGGUUUUUCGUCCCAUCCAAACGACUACAUAUUGUUCCUUGCCAGGCCCUCUGUAAUGCACCACGGACAAGAGAGAGAGAGAGAAAUGGGGUGUAACGUCCACUCGACAUAUGGUUCAACUUUAUUUCAAUAAUUCGCUUGCGCAUAGGGUUCUUUAGCAGUGGGAGGAAACUGGAGGACCCGGAGAAAACCCAUGAGGUUGGACACCACGGACAAGGUCAACACAGGACCUCCCAGUUAGCGGGGACAAUAUAUGACGACUGCAAAACCUGAAUUGUGUAAUUAAUGAGACUAACUAACAAUAGAUUAUGUUUCAGGAAAUGUUCUCUCCGGUGACUUUCCGAUCUCAAUGGGAGAAGUGCCAAACUGCAGAUGGCCAGUAGAAUGUGCAACUUUGAGAGGAUCUAUAGCUGUGUGAGGAAACCAGAGGACCCGGGGAAAAACCAUGAGGCUUGAAGGUAACCAUACUCCUUGUCACAUACAAGCGAGGAAUCAAAACCAAGCCACUUAACUUAAGAAUUGGAAUGUGUGCAUGAUGAAUCCCAGCAAGGUUUUACAGUAAAAUCUCAAAAACAUUCAAUACAUGAACUCUGACCAGUAGAGGGGCAAUUUAGAUAGACUUUCUCGUUUUUUACAAUCAUAGCAAUCUCAGCAAGUUUGGUAAAAAUAUUUUCAAAAACUCGGACUGUAGAGCCUUUUAAAAUGUUUUGUUGAAAGGGGCAAUAACUGCAUAACACUUCAAAUGUUGUUCACUCGGUCACAAUCAGAA
Patella vulgata (common limpet) is the source of this 1174-nucleotide long non-coding RNA. RefSeq lists it as uncharacterized. The transcript is spliced from 4 exons. The record is from RefSeq and is a predicted model, not a curated record. Lineage: Eukaryota; Metazoa; Mollusca; Gastropoda; Patellidae.